Molecule: ribosomal RNA, 463 nt
Filed under: uncultured bacterium
Lineage: Bacteria
Description: partial 16S ribosomal RNA
Rfam family: Bacterial small subunit ribosomal RNA
Source: RNAcentral
GACGAACGCUGGCGGCGUGCUUAACACAUGCAAGUCGAACGGAAAGGCCCUUUCGGAGGUACUCGAGUGGCGAACGGGUGAGUAACACGUGGGUGAUCUGCCCUGCACUCUGGGAUAAGCCUGGGAAACUGGGUCUAAUACCGGAUAGGACCGCACUUUAGUGUGUGUGGUGGAAAGUUUUUUCGGUGUAGGAUGAGCCCGCGGCCUAUCAGCUUGUUGGUGGGGUAAUGGCCUACCAAGGCGGCGACGGGUAGCCGGACUGAGAGGAUGGUCGGCCACAUUGGGACUGAGAUACGGCCCAGACUCCUACGGGAGGCAGCAGUGGGGAAUAUUGCACAAUGGGCGCAAGCCUGAUGCAGCGACGCCGCGUGGGGGAUGACGGCCUUCGGGUUGUAAACUCCUUUCGCCAGGGACGAAGCGUUCUGUGACGGUACCUGGAGAAGAAGCACCGGCUAACUACGUG